RNAcentral lists this ribosomal RNA (434 nucleotides) under uncultured bacterium. RNAcentral's name for it is "partial 16S ribosomal RNA". It matches the Rfam family "Bacterial small subunit ribosomal RNA", at positions 29 to 507 of the family's 1533-position model. The record is from RNAcentral.
AACGAACGCUGGCGGCAUGCCUAACACAUGCAAGUCGAACGAGACCUUCGGGUCUAGUGGCGCACGGGUGCGUAACGCGUGGGAACCUGCCCUUAGGUUCGGAAUAACUCCCCGAAAGGGGUGCUAAUACCGGAUAAUGUCUUCGGACCAAAGAUUUAUCGCCUUUAGAUGGGCCCGCGUUGGAUUAGCUAGUUGGUAGGGUAAAAGCCUACCAAGGCGACGAUCCAUAGCUGGUCUGAGAGGAUGAUCAGCCACACUGGGACUGAGAACCCGCCCAGACCUCCUCCGGGGGGAGGAGGGGGGGAAUAUUGAACAGGGGGCAAAGGCUUAACCAAGCAGUGCGGGGUGAGUAAUGAGGCCCUGGGGGUUGAAAAGUUUUUUCCCCCGGGAGGAAAAGGACGGUCCCGGGAAAAAAGCCCCCGGCUACCCCCGUC